Molecule: long non-coding RNA, 220 nt
Organism: Mirounga angustirostris (Northern elephant seal)
Lineage: Eukaryota; Metazoa; Chordata; Mammalia; Carnivora; Phocidae
Exons: 3
Source: RefSeq, a predicted model, not a curated record
AGAUGAUGGAGAAAAUGAAGUAGUGACCACUGCUUGACAUUCUGGAUUCAAUAAAAAAAACAGCCUUGGAAAUUAGAUAUGGUGUCUCCUUCUAGAGCAAGUUCAGUCCCCAAAUGAAACAUCGAUGGAGUCUUUAUGAAGAUGAAUUCUGCAAGUACAUAGAUGAGGUGUUCAGAAUGUAUUCUUGAGGACCCCUUUCCAUACACAAGGUAGUCACCAG